This 253-nucleotide ribosomal RNA is filed under the name uncultured bacterium. RNAcentral describes it as "partial 16S ribosomal RNA". It matches the Rfam family "Bacterial small subunit ribosomal RNA", at positions 524 to 776 of the family's 1533-position model. The record is from RNAcentral.
UACGUAGGUGGCAAGCGUUGUCCGGAUUUACUGGGCGUAAAGAGCGCGCAGGCGGUCGUGCAAGUCGCUUGUGAAAGCCCCCGGCUCAACUGGGGAGGGUCACGCGAUACUGCUCGACUUGAAGGCAGGAGAGGGAAGUGGAAUUCCCGGUGUAGUGGUGAAAUGCGUAGAUAUCGGGAGGAACACCAGUGGCGAAGGCGACCUCCUGGCAUGUUCUUGACGCUGAGGCGCGAAAGCUAGGGUAGCAAACGGG